GUGCUUUCUUGUGCAGCACAUAUACUAAAAGUGGGAUGAUACAGAGAUUAGUUUGGCUCUGUGAAAAGCUGACACACAUAUUCAUGAAGUGUUCCAUAUCUUU
This is a small nuclear RNA of Fukomys damarensis (Damara mole-rat), 103 nucleotides long. The record is from Ensembl. Lineage: Eukaryota; Metazoa; Chordata; Mammalia; Rodentia; Bathyergidae.